GAGGAAAGUCCGGGCUCCAUAGGGCAGGGUGCCAGGUAACGCCUGGGGGGGAAACCCACGACCAGUGCAACAGAGAGCAAACCGCCGAUGGCCCGCGCAAGCGGGAUCAGGUAAGGGUGAAAGGGUGCGGUAAGAGCGCACCGCGCGGCUGGUAACAGUCCGUGGCACGGUAAACUCCACCCGGAGCAAGGCCAAAUAGGGGUUCAUAAGGUACGGCCCGUACUGAACCCGGGUAGGCUGCUUGAGCCAGUGAGCGAUUGCUGGCCUAGAUGAAUGACUGUCCACGACAGAACCCGGCUUA
This 301-nucleotide RNase P RNA is filed under the name Escherichia coli. RNAcentral's name for it is "RNA component of RNase P". It matches the Rfam family "Bacterial RNase P class A", at positions 43 to 351 of the family's 367-position model. Rfam says of the family: Ribonuclease P (RNase P) is a ubiquitous endoribonuclease, found in archaea, bacteria and eukarya as well as chloroplasts and mitochondria. Its best characterised activity is the generation of mature 5'-ends of tRNAs by cleaving the 5'-leader elements of precursor-tRNAs. RNAcentral also lists the same sequence under 82 other names. Lineage: Bacteria; Pseudomonadati; Pseudomonadota; Gammaproteobacteria; Enterobacterales; Enterobacteriaceae. The record is from RNAcentral.